Molecule: unclassified non-coding RNA, 237 nt
Filed under: Glomus sp.
Lineage: Eukaryota; Fungi; Glomeromycota; Glomeromycetes; Glomerales; Glomeraceae
Description: partial contains 5.8S ribosomal RNA and internal transcribed spacer 2
Rfam family: 5.8S ribosomal RNA (bases 1-65)
Source: RNAcentral
GUGAAUCAUCGAAUUUUUGAACGCAAAUUGCACUCUCUUCGGAGAGUAUGCCUGUUUGAGGGUCAGCCUAAAAAAAAAAAUCGACAUAGUCGCUGUUUCGCGGUGACAUUCGUCUGAAAUUUGGUCAUCUUAAACCUUUUGGUUUUAUGUUGCCUAAAAUUUUCUUUUCGUUUCCACGAACUGUUAUAAGAUUUAUUUCUUAUACGCUUAAGAUAUCGAUCUUUAUUAGAAGCAGAC